UUGUACUCAGAGAGAGAUAAGUUUUAUUCAUACUUAUUGAUAUUAUCCACUUAUCCACUUUAAUAUUUACGCGUUGGUCAAUAAAUUGUUUGAGAAAUAUAACUGGUUCACACUAUCUUUGUUGCGUGUAGAAAUAGAACCAAAAUUAAUAGUUAUUCUUUCGGGACCACGCACGUAACAUGCACAAUGAUCAAAACAACAAAAAGGCGAGCUUACGGGGAUGUGUAAUCCAUUUUAAAGGUGAAAAUGGGCCAUUGACUGAUUUUACCGAGGCAUCUUUGAAAAAAGUUUUACAUUGUCCCAAGCUUUGGUUACUAUACAAUGGUGAGCAAAAAGACAUCGCUGAAAAGAACAAAAAGUUGAUGAAAAAAAUUCAGUCCAUGAAAAGUCCUUUGGCUGAGUACCGUGGAGAGUUAAAGUACCAUAGAAAUUGCUAGGCAAAGUUCACCAAUGUUGGCCUGAUUAGACGGGCUGAAAAAAGAAUGAGCAAAAAGUUUGAAGCUUCAGCAGCCACUGUCAAUGAAAACUAUAUACAAGAAAAUAAGUCGACAGAUGUAAAUGAGCCUCACACGAAACUGCUACGAUCAUCCUCGUUUUGUCAUGACAGUUCUAAACCUCCGAUAAGAACUAUAGCAGUUUUGCCAUCAAUAUGCAUAAUAUGCAAGCAAGAAAAGUCCUUCGCCACUCAAUCGGUAAAUAAUGUAACAAAUAAACCAAUAUGUUACAGGUAUUCCAAUACCUGUUUUGUAACAUCAUGUUCUGUACUUAAUCUACCUACAAUAUGAUUUUACUUUUGUUGUCUUACUGAUGGUGAGGAAUGUCCAAUUUUUCUACAAUUUGGUAAAGAUCUUUAUUUAUUGACAAGAGUUCAGCGAUAGUUAAUGCUUCAAGGUACACUCUCUUUGCAUCUGGCAAGUGUUCGGACGAAUGCCUUCCCCCGAAUGCAGAUAGCAUGCUUUUGCACAUUAAGAGAGCCAACUACCAAGCAGCCAUCUGGAAGAAUAGUUUGCAAUCGCACAUUAAUGUUCAACCUCCUGUGAGCCAUGGAUGGCACAUGAAAAAUGGUCAGUUAGAGAUUCUUUGGAUGACUGGACCAUCUGCUCCAGGUACACAGUGUGUACAGCAGGAGCUAGAUGGCGACCAAAGGAUUCUGAGUAUCUCAUGUGCCAAUUUAUUAUCGUUAUAUUAUUUACACAAAAAGAUGAAGGACUCCUUCGCAAUUCAAUUUCAAGAAUUGUUUUUUCAUUUUUUAGUCUUUUUGUCCAUCAAGCAGCUAUGGAAGAUUAAUAGCUAAACAUAUCAUUUCAAAUUAACUUAGAAAGAUUGAUCCUUAAUCAUUAUUUAGCACCGUUCUUUUGAAUAUGAGCCAGCAAAUUUAGCGAAUUUCACACAAAACAAUAUGGCGGAUAUAGAAAAUAUAUGUCGAAUUUUUGAUGGCUCUAGCUCUCUUGAUUGCAAGUUUUCGGGAUGUAAACAGGCAGAUUUAUGUUAAGUGAGUACAUAUCAGUACAUCUAUGUUGUUUUUACUUAGUCAUGAAUUUCUGCAUCUCAACCUGAACAAUAAUCCACCAUAGGAUACGACCUAACAGUUGUUAAAGCUGUAAUAAAUCUGGUAUGGUUCACAGUUGCAAAAAAUGCUCAGAAAAUGAUUCUCUACAAGAAUAUCUUAAAACAUUGCUGGAAGAGUCUUUCAACAAUGGCAAAAACAACCUGUUGAUCAAAAAUGGCGAAGAAAUCUUUCAACUUUUGUAAAUUUAUCGAGUUGCUGGUAGAGGCUAUAGAUAACCUAACGUCAUACUCAUACAUCGUUACAUAUGAAACGAAAUUUCUUAAGAAAGAAAGGAGGAACUUGGCAAUAUUUGAGCAUUGAUUCUUGGUUCCUUGAGAAAGUUUGCUUUUUAACCCACCAUAAUUGAAGCUCAAUAUUUUUUACGACGAAUUUCCUGUUUGAUACAAAGGCUACAGAAUACGUUCAAUUUGUUUGCAUAAAAAGCGAUAUUGGCAUUGAUGGAAGUUGUAUUUUGUUUGUUACAGGAAGCCACAGCAAGUUAGCGUAAAAUGACAUUGGCUGUACAGUUAAAAGAAAGGCACGUGCCAUAUUGGAACAAAUCACUUGAAUAAAAUUUUAGAUAUCUAUCAUGGUGUUAUUUCAAAGACAAGUAUUAAGAUGAAAGAAUGGAAAGCGUUCGAAUGGAUUUUGGAUGGGGAUAUUUGCUUCCAAUCAAACCAUACAAGGAGCACGAAGUUAUUACCUCUUCAAACCUACAAGGUCCGACAUUUUGCAAUACAAACAAACGGCAGAAGAUCAGGAACUUGAAGGCUCGUUUACAUCACAGGAGAGCAAUAUCCGGUCCUCCGAAUAACAUGAACACAGAGUCUUUGAGGGAUAGUACGUAAUUGGUGUGGCUCAGGAGUAAGUGGGUUGACAGAGAAGAAAAACAUGUGAAGAUGUAUAUCCUACAUGUACAUGCUAAAUCCAUUUGGAGCUGCAAAAAGUUUUCGUUCGCCAAAAGCGGAUAUCUGCCAUAGCGGAUCUAUAGUAGGAUAUCCACUAUAGCGGAACGAGAAAAAUAUUGACUGUGAGAGUCCGAUUGCUUAAUUAACACCAAUAUCGGACAAAUGAAUAAUUUUUAACCGUAGUUGCCAUUUGAUCUCGGCCAGCUGCAAAUGGCUAGCAAUUCAAAAUAGUUUAUAGCGUGCCUUUAAAUGUCCGAGAUAUGUUGAAAAAAUAGACCAGAACUAUGAGCAGAACUCGAAAUUUGACGUCUAAAAUCAUGAUUAUCAAAGUCAUAAUUUAACAAUCGCUCAACUUUUCAAGAUGCUUAUCUCAAGCUUUGCAUGUUUAGUAAAAAUCUUGUAAAAAUGAGAAAAAUCUGAAGUUUAGAGGUACACCCCAUGUUUCACGAUUAGCCGUGAAGUAAACCUUCACAUGAGGAUGAUUCACAUGGACCACACAGAGGAAUGAAUUUUGGAGGUCAUGAUCGUGUCAAGUGGCGCGAAAGUUCAUUGGUUAUUUUUUGUAAGGUAAAUGUUUGUUCGAAUCUUAUGCUGGAAUGGGAAUCAAAUCCAAAGAAUGCAAUAUCAAGUUUAUGGUCAAUCAUUGAGAAGUUUUUUUGAUUAAGUAGUAAUCUCUAAACGCAUCAAGUAAAGGGAAAGAAAUACAAAGACUACAAUCAAUGACUCUUUAAAAAGUCAAAUAUCUUGAUAAAUAACAGGGAGCGAAUUCCAAAUGUACAGUUCAUGUGUUUUAUUUUAAAUAUAUAUGAUACAAUCAAGACAACAUUGGGUGAUUAGAAGAACACUUGUUGAGAUGGGAGAUAGCCCCCAUUCAUCUGACUAAGCAAGUCAGUCAAGAAAAAUGAUGUUUUCUGAAGCAGUUGGUUGCUUGACAUGAUAUGUUUCUGUUUCAUGUACAUCAACUUUAUAUUAUUUUGAAAUAGAAUUUACAAUUUUGGUAAACAACAAAUCUUUGAUAUGUAAUUACUAAUUGUAUCCAUUACCUGUAUGUAAUAUAAGAAUUGAUCCAUGGAGGGUGCACUAGUUUGGAUUGUAUUUUGGUAGCUGUUUGCAAUUGCCAGACAUUUUUUAUUAAAUUUGGUUUCUCAUAAUGCCAUAAUCAGGGAUAUGUAUUUAGAAAGUGUGCUUCAAUAAACACAAAUCACAACUA
Long non-coding RNA from Xenia sp. Carnegie-2017, 3667 nucleotides. RefSeq lists it as uncharacterized. The transcript is spliced from 2 exons. NCBI's taxonomy places the organism in Eukaryota, Metazoa, Cnidaria, Anthozoa, Malacalcyonacea, Xeniidae. The record is from RefSeq and is a predicted model, not a curated record.